RNAcentral lists this ribosomal RNA (567 nucleotides) under uncultured archaeon. RNAcentral describes it as "bacterial SSU rRNA". It matches the Rfam family "Archaeal small subunit ribosomal RNA", at positions 326 to 893 of the family's 1478-position model. The record is from RNAcentral.
CGGGGUGCAGCAGGCGCGAAAACUUUACAAUGCUGGCAACAGCGAUAAGGGGACCUCGAGUGCCAGGUUACAAAUCUGGCUGUUGAGAUGCCUAAAAAGCAUUUCAUAGCAAGGGCCGGGCAAGACCGGUGCCAGCCGCCGCGGUAACACCGGCGGCUCGAGUGGUAACCGUUAUUAUUGGGUCUAAAGGGUCUGUAGCCGGCCGGAUAAGUCUCUUGGGAAAUCUGGCAGCUUACCUGUCAGGCUUUCAGGAGAUACUGUCUGGCUCGAGGCCGGGAGAGGUGAGAGGUACUUCAGGGGUAGGGGUGAAAUCUUGUAAUCCUUGAAGGACCACCAGUGGCGAAGGCGUCUCACCAGAACGGACCUGACGGCAAGGGACGAAAGCUAGGGGCACGAACCGGAUUAGAUACCCGGGUAGUCCUAGCCGUAAACGAUACUCGCUAGGUGUCGGCCACGGUGCGACCGUUGUCGGUGCCGUAGGGAAGCCGUGAAGCGAGCCACCUGGGAAGUACGGCCGCAAGGCUGAAACUUAAAGGAAUUGGCGGGGGAGCACAAGGGCGAAUGCGG